Molecule: ribosomal RNA, 934 nt
Filed under: bacterium
Lineage: Bacteria
Description: bacterial SSU rRNA
Source: RNAcentral
UGCAAGUCGAACGGCAGCGCGGGGCAACCUGGCGGCGAGUGGCGAACGGGUGAGUAAUAUAUCGGAACGUACCCUGGAGUGGGGGAUAACGUAGCGAAAGUUACGCUAAUACCGCAUACGAUCUMAGGAUGAAAGCAGGGGACCGCAAGGCCUUGUGCUCCUGGAGCGGCCGAUAUCUGAUUAGCUAGUUGGUGGGGUAAAGGCCCACCAAGGCAUCGAUCAGUAGCUGGUCUGAGAGGACGACCAGCCACACUGGAACUGAGACACGGUCCAGACUCCUACGGGAGGCAGCAGUGGGGAAUUUUGGACAAUGGGCGCAAGCCUGAUCCAGCAAUGCCGCGUGAGUGAAGAAGGCCUUCGGGUUGUAAAGCUCUUUUGUCAGGGAAGAAACGGUGRRGGCUAAUAUCCYUUGCUAAUGACGGUACCUGAAGAAUAAGCACCGGCUAACUACGUGCCAGCAGCCGCGGUAAUACGUAGGGUGCAAGCGUUAAUCGGAAUUACUGGGCGUAAAGCGUGCGCAGGCGGUUUUGUAAGUUUGUCGUGAAAUCCCCGGGCUCAACCUGGGAAUGGCGAUGAAGACUGCAAGGCUAGAGUUUGGCAGAGGGGGGUAGAAUUCCACGUGUAGCAGUGAAAUGCGUAGAUAUGUGGAGGAACACCGAUGGCGAAGGCAGCCCCCUGGGUCAAAACUGACGCUCAUGCACGAAAGCGUGGGGAGCAAACAGGAUUAGAUACCCUGGUAGUCCACGCCCUAAACGAUGUCUACUAGUUGUCGGGUCUUAAUUGACUUGGUAACGCAGCUAACGCGUGAAGUAGACCGCCUGGGGAGUACGGUCGCAAGAUUAAAACUCAAAGGAAUUGACGGGGACCCGCACAAGCGGUGGAUGAUGUGGAUUAAUUCGAUGCAACGCGAAAAACCUUACCUACCCUUGACAUG